AUGCCUAGGAAUCUGCCUGGUAGUGGGGGAUAACGUCCGGAAACGGGCGCUAAUACCGCAUACGUCCUGAGGGAGAAAGUGGGGGAUCUUCGGACCUCACGCUAUCAGAUGAGCCUAGGUCGGAUUAGCUAGUUGGUGGGGUAAAGGCCUACCAAGGCGACGAUCCGUAACUGGUCUGAGAGGAUGAUCAGUCACACUGGAACUGAGACACGGUCCAGACUCCUACGGGAGGCAGCAGUGGGGAAUAUUGGACAAUGGGCGAAAGCCUGAUCCAGCCAUGCCGCGUGUGUGAAGAAGGUCUUCGGAUUGUAAAGCACUUUAAGUUGGGAGGAAGGGCAGUAAGUUAAUACCUUGCUGUUUUGACGUUACCAACAGAAUAAGCACCGGCUAACUUCGUGCCAGCAGCCGCGGUAAUACGAAGGGUGCAAGCGUUAAUCGGAAUUACUGGGCGUAAAGCGCGCGUAGGUGGUUCAGCAAGUUGGAUGUGAAAUCCCCGGGCUCAACCUGGGAACUGCAUCCAAAACUACUGAGCUAGAGUACGGUAGAGGGUGGUGGAAUUUCCUGUGUAGCGGUGAAAUGCGUAGAUAUAGGAAGGAACACCAGUGGCGAAG
This 611-nucleotide ribosomal RNA is filed under the name Pseudomonas aeruginosa. RNAcentral describes it as "bacterial SSU rRNA". It matches the Rfam family "Bacterial small subunit ribosomal RNA", at positions 113 to 720 of the family's 1533-position model. Lineage: Bacteria; Pseudomonadati; Pseudomonadota; Gammaproteobacteria; Pseudomonadales; Pseudomonadaceae. The record is from RNAcentral.